Molecule: ribosomal RNA, 330 nt
Filed under: uncultured eukaryote
Lineage: Eukaryota
Description: partial 18S ribosomal RNA
Rfam family: Eukaryotic small subunit ribosomal RNA
Source: RNAcentral
CCCUUAGAUGUUCUGGGCCGCACGCGCGCUACACUGAUGAAUUCAACGAGCUCCUAACCUAGGCCGAAGGGUCCGGGUAAUCUUUGAAAUUUCAUCGUGAUGGGGAUAGAUUAUUGCAAUUAUUAAUCUUCAACGAGGAAUUCCUAGCAAGCGCGAGUCAUCAGCUCGCGUUGAUUACGUCCCUGCCCUUUGUACACACCGCCCGUCGCUCCUACCGAUUGAAUGGUCCGGUGAAAUGUUCGGACCGCGACAAGGCGGACGGUUCGCUGUCAGCUUUGCUGCGGGAAGUUCAUUAAACCUUAUCAUUUAGAGGAAGGAGAAGUCGUAACA